UACGUAGGGGGCAAGCGUUGUCCGGAAUCAUUGGGCGUAAAGAGCGUGUAGGCGGCCAGAAAAGUCCGCUGUGAAAACUCGAGGCUCAACUUCGAGCUGUCGGUGGAAACUUUCUGGCUAGAGUCCGGAAGAGGAGAAUGGAAUUCCUGGUGUAGCGGUGAAAUGCGUAGAUAUCAAGAGGAACACCUGCGGCGAAGGCGGGUUGCUGGGCCGACACUGACGCUGAGGCGCGAAAGCCAGGGGAGCGAACGGG
This 253-nucleotide ribosomal RNA is filed under the name uncultured bacterium. RNAcentral describes it as "partial 16S ribosomal RNA". It matches the Rfam family "Bacterial small subunit ribosomal RNA", at positions 524 to 776 of the family's 1533-position model. The record is from RNAcentral.